CCUACGGGGUGCUGCAGUGGGGAAUUUUGGACAAUGGGGGCAACCCUGAUCCAGCCAUGCCGCGUGAGUGAAGAAGGCCUUCGGGUUGUAAAGCUCUUUCGGCCGGGAAGAAAUCGCUCAAGCUAAUACCUUGGGUGGAUGACGGUACCGGAAGAAGAAGCACCGGCUAACUACGUGCCAGCAGCCGCGGUAAUACGUAGGGUGCGAGCGUUAAUCGGAAGUACUGGGCGUAAAGCGUGCGCAGGCGGUGAACUCCCCGGGCUUAACCUGGGAACUGCGUUUGUGACUGUGGUGCUCGAGUGCGGCAGAGGGGGGUGGAAUUCCACGUGUAGCAGUGAAAUGCGUAGAGAUGUGGAGGAACACCGAUGGCGAAGGCGGCCACCUGGACAGUAACUGACGCUGAGGCGCGAAAGUGUGGGUAGCAAACAGGAUUAGAUACCCGAGUAGUC
This 449-nucleotide ribosomal RNA is filed under the name uncultured bacterium. Its description in RNAcentral is "partial 16S ribosomal RNA". It matches the Rfam family "Bacterial small subunit ribosomal RNA", at positions 338 to 795 of the family's 1533-position model. The record is from RNAcentral.